Long non-coding RNA from Cornus florida, 576 nucleotides. RefSeq lists it as uncharacterized. The record is from RefSeq and is a predicted model, not a curated record. The transcript has 3 exons. NCBI's taxonomy places the organism in Eukaryota, Viridiplantae, Streptophyta, Magnoliopsida, Cornales, Cornaceae.
UCCCAUAAGAUGUCUCUCUCUCUCUACAAUCACUUUAUACUCCACCGGAGGCCUCUCUCUACUGGCACUCUUCUAGUCUUCCCUCAUAGUAUGCAGGACGCCUCCCUUUCUUUCUCUAAUCACUUUUCCCUCAAGCUCAACAAAUCGUUCGGGUUAAACUUUGGCGGAUGAAACUUGGGAGAAAAUACAAUUAAAUUUGCUCUGAAGCUUCUUUCAUAUUUCAUUUUGGUACAGGGACCUUGAUUUGGGAUGCACACUACGCCAUGGAAGUUUCAUAGACUUGAAGUAUCAUUCUCAUGAAAAUGUUGGCGUGAAAUCCUAUUUGUAGUUUUGUAUGACAAAACUUGUAUUUUUGUUCCAAAUAUGUAAUGUGUACAUAAGUACACUUUUUGUAAGGUAAUUGAUGUGUAUGACAUAAGGCCAAGGGCCACAAACUUUAAAGUUCAAGGGUAUGUAUGUAAACUUUAAGUUUUGCCUUUGAAAUGCAUUUUUAUCAUCUAUGGAGGUUUGGCAUGUCAAAUUUUGUAAAUGAUAUGUAAUGAGGCCAUGGGCCAUUGUAUCACACUUUAAUAUAUA